RNAcentral lists this ribosomal RNA (484 nucleotides) under uncultured bacterium. RNAcentral's name for it is "bacterial SSU rRNA". It matches the Rfam family "Bacterial small subunit ribosomal RNA", at positions 28 to 507 of the family's 1533-position model. The record is from RNAcentral.
GACGAACGCUGGCGGCGUGCCUAACACAUGCAAGUCGAACGGAGAGGCUUGACAGAACACUUCGGUGGGACGUACAAGUUUUCUUAGUGGCGGACGGGUGAGUAACGCGUGAGCAACCUGCCUUUGAGAGGGGAAUAACAGUUGGAAACGGCUGCCUAAUACCGCAUAAAGUCAGAAAGACGCAUGUUUUCUGACCAAAGAUUUAUCGCUCAAAGAUGGGCUCGCGUCUGAUUAGAUAGUUGGUGAGGUAACGGCCCACCAAGUCGACGAUCAGUAGCCGGACUGAGAGGUUGAACGGCCACAUUGGGACUGAGACACGGCCCAGACUCCUACGGGAGGCAGCAGUGGGGAAUAUUGCACAAUGGGCGCAAGCCUGAUGCAGCAACGCCGCGUGCGGGAAGACGGCCUUCGGGUUGUAAAACCGCUGUCCUUGGUGAAGAAAGAAAUGACGGUAACCAUGGAGGAAGCCACGGCUAACUACGUG